GCAAAUUCUUGGGGUUGGUCAGUGAGGCGUAGAGGCCUAUCCCAACAAAGUACAAUCCAUCAUUAACAUGAAGUCCCCUGAGGGAAAGGCAAAUGUUCAGAGCUUCCAAGGCAAGCUAACGACAUUAUUCCGCUUCAUUUCUAAGCUUACCGAUAAGUGCCUACAAUUUUCAAAGCUAUGAAGAGAUCCCAUCACAAGCUGGUAAACUGGACACCAGACUGUGAAGCGGCAUUUCAAGGUCUCAAAGAAUAUCUAGCGGCAAUCCCACUCCUAUCCAUACCAAUUUCAGGAGAAAUCCUUUACAUAUAUCUGGCAAUCUCAGUGUUAGCCGUCAGCUGCACAAUUAUACACAGAGAAAAGGAAGAGGAGCUCUAUGUAUUCUAUGCAAGAAAAGGCAUGAUUGGCGCAGAGACAAGAUACACACCUUUUGAACAGUUGGCGCUAGCGCUCAUUGUUGCCACUAGGUACCUCUGCUAGUAUUUCCAAGCUCACACCAUCCAUGUCCUCACCAAUCAACCGCUAAGGCAAGUUAUGCAAAACCUUGAACACUCUGGCCGCCUGAGCAAGUGGGUAAUUGAGCUCAGCAAGUUUGAUAUUGAAUAUAAGCCAAGAAAGGCUAUGAAUGGCCAGGCGGUAGAGGAUUUAAAUGCAGAACUCACUGAGCAGCAGGAAGAUCCCAUUCUCACCACAUUAGCUGAUAUCACUACCACUACUGAGGUCACUAACUUGUCCCAGCAACUGCCCAAUGACAGUCAAAGUGGAACCUUCAUGUUGACGAUUCGGCGUGCGCCAAGGCUUGUGGCGCUGGGGUAAUCCUGACAGGAUCUGGGGGACUCAACGUCAAGUAUGCCCUAAAGUUCAACUUCAAAGCCUCCAAUAACAUGGCAGAGUAUGAAGCACUCAUUGCUAGACUACUCCUCACCAUAAACUUAGGCGUUGACAGUGUGAAUAUAUUCAGUGACUCCAACUUGUCGUCAACUAGGUCAAUAACACUUUUCAAGUCAAGGAUAAAUAGCUGACGGCAUAUCUGGGGUAUGUGAAAGCUCUCCUCAAUAAGUUCAAGUUUCACUUCAUCACUUAAAUCCCCAAAGAGAAUAAUUCCAAGGCUGACUCUCUGGUGAGAUUGGCUACAUCUCAAACCUAUUAGAGCCCAAAAUACAUAAGGGUGGAAUGCCUUGACAAGCCAAGCAUCACAAAAACUCUGGCGAAAAUAUUUAUAAUCGACGUCAAUCCCAGCUAGAUGGAUGAGAUACUAGAGCACAAGCGUAAUGGAACACUACCAACUGCAAGCUGGGGGAGUGGUCCGUUUAGUGUUGUUAGGUCGUGCUAAUGUAACAGUGUGUGAGUGUGAAUGUCAAAGUGAAGAAAUUCAACCUAGCACAGGUAAACGGCGGGAGUAACUAUGACUCUCUUAAGGUAGCCAAAUGCCUCGUCAUCUAAUUAGUGAUGCGCAUGAAUGGAUUAGCGAGAUUCCCACUGUCCCUGUCUACUAUCUAGUGAAACAACAACCAAGGGAACGAGCUUGGCAGAAUUAGGGGGGGAAAGAAGACCCUAUUGAGCUUGAGUCUAGUAUGACAUUGUGAAAUGACUUGAGAGGUGUAGUAUAAGUGGGAGCCUUCGGGUGAAAGUGAAAUACCACUACUUUUAAUAUUAUUUUACUUAUUCGUGAAUCGAAGGAGGGGCACUGCCCUUUUUUUUUUUUUACCCAAAGCCUGUUUCGGCGGGCUGAUCUGGGCGGCAGAUAAUUUCAGGUAGGGUGUUUGGCUGGGGUGACACAUUUGUUAAAAGAUAACAUAGGUGUCCUAAGAUGAGCUCAAUCAUGAAAACAAAAAUCUCAUGUGGAACAAAAGGGUAAAAGCUCGUUUGAUUAUGAUUUCUAGAAUAGAUACGGUGGCCUAUCAAUCUUUUAGACAUUUGGAAUUUAAAGCUAGAGGUGUCAGAAAAGUUACCAUAGGGAUAACUGGCUUGUGGCAGCCAAGUGUUCAUAGCGACAUUACUUUUUUUUCCCUUCGAUGUCGGCUCUUCCUAUCAUUGUGAAGUAGAAUUCACCAAGUGCUGGAUUGUUCACCCACCAAUAAGGAACAUGAGCUAGGUUUAAACCAUCGCGAGACAAGUUAUUUUUACCCUACUGAUGACAGUGUUGCAAUAUUAAUUCAACCUAGUAUGAGAGGAAUCGUUGAUUGGCACAAUUGGUCAUCGCGCUUGGUUGAAAAGCCAGUGGCACGAAGCUACCAUACGCUGGAUUAUGACUGAACGCCUCUAAGUCAUAAUCCAGAAAGCAUGUGCUCACCGUCUGAUUGUCAACCCACAGUAGGGGCUCUAGUCCCUUAAAGGCACCCCUUGUUUGUGAAGCCUUCGCGGCGAACAAGUUGCGAUAGCCGACUUGAAUUACAAUUUCUACCGAGCAGCGAGUUGAGUCCUUUGCAAAUGCCUUAAAUACAAGACGGGAUAUUGUAAGUGGCAGAGUGGCCUUGCUGCCACGAUCCAUUAAGAUUUAGCCUUGCGUCGCUUCGAUUCGU
This 2519-nucleotide ribosomal RNA is filed under the name Rosa multiflora. RNAcentral describes it as "eukaryotic LSU rRNA". The stretch from base 1191 to 2519 matches the Rfam family "Eukaryotic large subunit ribosomal RNA". The record is from RNAcentral. Lineage: Eukaryota; Viridiplantae; Streptophyta; Magnoliopsida; Rosales; Rosaceae.